This 468-nucleotide ribosomal RNA is filed under the name uncultured bacterium. Its description in RNAcentral is "partial 16S ribosomal RNA". It matches the Rfam family "Bacterial small subunit ribosomal RNA", at positions 28 to 507 of the family's 1533-position model. The record is from RNAcentral.
GACGAACGCUGGCGGCGUGCUUAACACAUGCAAGUCGAACGGAAAGGCCUGGCUUUUUUGGGGUGCUGAAGUGGCAAACGGGUAGGUACCACGGGGUUAGCCUCCCCUUGACUUUGGGAUACCUCCAGGAAACUGGGGUUAAUACCGGAAAGGAGUUCCUCUUCCAUGGUGGGGUUGGGAAAGUUUGGGCGGUUGGGGAUGGACCGGCGGCUGAUCAGCUUGUUGGUGGGGAAGUGGCUUACCAAGGCUUUGACGGGUAGCCGGCCGGAGAGGGUGACCGGCCACAUUGGGACUGAGAUACGGCCCAGACUCCUACGGGAGGCAGCAGUGGGGAAUAUUGCACAAUGGGCGGAAGCCUGAUGCAGCAACGCCGCGUGCGGGAUGACGGCCUUCGGGUUGUAAACCGCUUUCGCCUGUGACGAAGCGUGAGUGACGGUAAUGGGUAAAGAAGCACCGGCUAACUACGUG